CCACUAAGUGAGGUCAGGAUCAAACCUGCAUCUUCACAGAAACUAUGUUGGGUUCUUAACCCUCUGAGUCACAUCAGGAACUCCUACAUCGUUCUUCUUGAUCUCCCCUUUGGGAUUAUUUGUGAUUGUUCUAUCCCAGUUUAUUUCAGGGACACCACCCUCUCUUCCCAGAGCCAUCAUUCUUCCAGCCCUGAUUCCUGAGCUCUCUUUCCUCUGAUCUCCUUGACAAUGUCCAGCGAAAUCUGGACCCUUGGCUAAGACUCUCUCAUAACCUCGAAGCCUCCUUUCGAGGCCAUGCUUAUUGGGCAUUACUGGGUGGAGAGGCUAUUCCUUGGAUUGCUUUUCCAGAAGUACUGGUGGUGAAGUCUCGGUACUGGGCCCUCACACGACCUGUGAUGUUUGCUCCCGAAGCCGCCCCGGCCUUUCCAAAGACACUGAGCCCAUAUGGGGUUUGACCCCGCCACCCUGACAUCAUUAGCAUUGUUUUUGAAACAACCGAGCGAACCCAAUCCCAGCAUUUGUGAUUUUGUUAGGCCAGCUCGACUGCCCCAGAAAGGAAAUCAUUUCCACUCAAUUGCUUGUGAAUUGUGCCUCCUCUGUCCAGCAAAAGGGAUCCUGGUGUCUGCUGGGGUCAGUGACCUGCCUCCGAGGUCAUCUCUAAUGUUCCAUCUUUGGGGCUGGGUUUGCACCUGGUGUAUAGGGCUUGACGGAGAAGAUUAGAAAGUUUUCUGAACAGUAUUGCUUCAUCUACUUCUGGAUCAAUUAAUAUCUUCAUUAUUAGGAUCAAAUUCCUAUAACUUCUUACAGACCCAGUGUAUGCCUUUUUACUGUAUCGAUUGGAGAAGGCUUCUGGUCUUACCAUCAGAAAUGAGAAUGGCUGUGUCAGUGUAUUUGGUGGAACUUCAUUCCUUUGCGUACGCAUCUUUCUUAACCACACCAUUCGUAUAAUUUCACUGAAAAGAGCAUAUUUUUACAGUACUCUGGAAAUUAGUAAAGCAGUUGAAUAUUUGAACGCUCGAGAGAGCAAACUGCAUGUUAAUCCCUCCAAUCCUGCAGCCAGUUUUCUACACGAGACACAAAUGAUCCACAUUAGAACAGAAACGAAGGGGUGGGCAGGGCUAUGGAAGGGACAUCUCAGCAUCAAGGGCACUGGAGGGGACUCCAGGCUUUCAGGGUUUCCUGUAUGAUUUACAAACUGCCAAGGGGCAGACACAGUCUCUGUUUCAAUGUCAUGGUGGGAAGGGCCCGCCUGAUCCUUAAGAGGGUCACGCACGUAGUUCAGCUCAAUUGAAAUGCUCUGGCUCUGACACCCAUCACCCAUAAAAUACGGCCUAAGGAGAAGGACAGGUGAAGGCAGUGCCUGCAUUGCCUCUCAAGGACAGUGAGUGGCUCCCACCGGGCUGUAGCUAGGAGCUACUUCUGCGGGAAACCUGGGCCACUCCGACCUCGCCUAUCUGAGUCCCCUUCAUCUUUUGGAGGGUCCCGGGGCGCCCUGAGGCAUCAUUCCUGCCAGAUUACCAUGAUGCUGACACUUCCCCGAGCCCAGAUGAUUUUUCUGGCUGGCCACUUUCUCCUUAUCGUGCCUGCCGAUCAGCUGGCAGCACUGUUCCUGUUUAUCGUACACUGUCCUGUGCUGUCAUUUAGAAAUACCCAGGCGCUCUCCCAGUGAAUAUUGAUAAGAUACCUUUGGAAUGAGAUAACAACGUGGUAAAGGAAGCUAUCUUCCCCAUGUGAUGAAGAACUUCAGAACGUGCCAUAAAAUGUGAUAAAAGCGUGCCACGCACCCGUGACGGGGGAAGAGCCGGCUGUGGUGUGUCCUGUGCUCGGGGUGGGGGGCCAGAUGCUCGUUGUUUGGAUCUGCUCUUUCAAAGGUUUGGGGCCUUUCGUCUGUGUUUCUAAGCUCUUUGAAGGUCAUGUUGGAAUUAAAAGCUGUAUUUAUUAUCUGUUUUUCCGUGCUAUCUAUAUUACAAUUGCCUAUCGAAUUUGGAAGCCCGGGAUCUCCUGGAGGUGGCUAUUUUCUAAUUCCACUUUUAUCCUCCCCUCUGGUGUCCUAUUUGUCAGCGCCUGUUUGCAUCUGCUGGGGCUGAUAAGGUAGAAACGGCUACCUGACUAACAUUAUUAUGGUUCUCUGGUUCUCCCGCUUCUGGCUAGUUUGAAAUGAUUAUCGCCCCUGGACUCCAGUCACCUGCUAAAAGAUAACACGGCUUCCGGAGGCAGCACUGCCCCCAUCACUUUGAAGUACUGGUAACUCCACCUGUUACCAGCCCAUGGGACCAGCCUCGACGCUGUGUGGGCAAGAAAGGAAAAGGACCUGAGAGAGGGGACAAAGGGGGCCAGGAACAGGUGGGGGUGAGUCCUGGCUGUAUCACCCAAAGCAGGAGCUGACUCCUUGCUCAGAUGUCAGAGAAGGCAAUGAAUCCCUCCUAUUUGAGAAGAGUGCUGUGUGGACCACAGUGCUGCCCGUGGCCUCUACGGGGAUGGGGAGGCUGGGCCCCAGAGCAGCAUCCUUAAACUGACCUUGUUAUGGAUGACUUUUCUCAGUAUAGCUACCAUUUUUUUAAAAAAAUCACAUAUUAACAAUGUAAUCACAUUGAUGAAUGCGAGAGAAUCAUAUUCAUAGAUAACGGCCAGUCUGUAUGUUAAGCCCACGUCCUGCCAAGGAUUUGAGUUUACAUGACUCCUUGAAGCCAGUGAAGUAGAUCCCAUGAAAAAUCAUCAUUUUACGGAUGGUGAAAGUAGACACUUGCUUAAAAAGGUUAAGAGACAUGGCCAAGGUGGCGUAAAUGUGUGAGAGAGGUGAGUUGAAUGCCCACAAUCCUUACGCCUUAUUCUUUUCUCGGUGGAGUAUUUCUUACGGUAGCUUCCCUGUUGAAAAGAGAUCAUGUCACCAAUGUUGCUUCUAAAUGCGGCUUCCAUAGGCUUUGGAGGAGUUGGAGGGAUUGACACAGGUUUCCCCCCACCUUUAUUGACAUAUAAGCCUGUGUGAACUUAAGGUGUCCAACAAGUUGAUCUGAUACACUUAUAUGACAAAAUGGUGUCCCACAGCUUAGCUAACACCUGCUUCACUUUAGAUAAUUACCAUUACCUCUGGCGACCACCAAUCUGUUCUCUGUUUCUAUGAAUUUUAGAUAGUACAUAUGCAUAAUAUCAUACAGCAUUUGUUUUUCUCUGACUUCAUUCAGUUAGCAUAAUGCCCUCAAGGUCCAUCUAUGUUGUCUCAGAUGACGGGAUUUCCUCCUUUUUCAUGACCGAAUAAUAUUCCACGGCAUAAAUGUAUAAAUGGGUAAAUCCAUUCAUCCAUUGACAAACACUUGGGGUGUUGUAUGUGUUGGCUCUUAUGAAUAAUGCUGCAAUGAACAUGGGAGUGCAGAUAUCUUUUUGACAUCCUUUUUUCAUUUUCUUCCGAUAUGUACCUGGAAGUGGAAUUGCUGGAUGAUAUGGCAAUUCUAUUUUUAAUUUACAUUGUUUUACAUAGUGGCUGCCCCAAUUUAAGUUUCUCCCAACAGUGCACAAGUAUUCCCUUUUCUCCACAUCCUCAUCAACACUUGUUAUCUCUCAUCAUUUUGACAACAGACAUUCUAACAGCUGUGAGGAGAUAUCUCACUGUGGUCUUCAUUUGCAUUGCUCUGAUGAUUAGCAGUGUUGAGCAUCUUUGCAUGUACCUGUUGGCCAUUUGUAUGUCUUCUUUAGAAAAAUAUUUGUUGCCCAUUUUUUUUGUUGGCAUUUGCUUGCUCUUGAGUUAUAUGUGUUCUUAUGUACUUUGGCUAUCAAUCCCUUAUCAGGGGUGGCAAAUGCUUUAACCCAUUCUACAGGUUGCCUUUUCAUUUGUCGAUUGUUUCUUUUGCUGUGCAGAAGACGUAGAGGUUCUUGAGAAUCCAGGGGAACUUCAUAAUGAGGUCAAAUUAUCACCUAUCCCUAGGCUUCCGUCUCCUUCUACCUGCUCUUGCGGUGGUAGAGUGAUGGUUCAGUUCCCUUUCGAGCUCAGAGAUUUCAACUGCUCAUUAUAAAAUGUGCAUAUCUUGUGAACUAAAAAUUGUCUCUAAAACAGACUUGCCUUUUUAUUAUGAAUAGGCUCCACUUUCCUUCCUUUUUUCUUAAUGAUCACUGGCUAGAACGCAUAAUGAAUGAAGAGCAGUUGAGGAGCACUGACUGAGUGCCAGGCCGCAUUAUCUCAUUUUCAUUUUGCCGAUGAAGGGAUUUAAGCCUAGAGAAGUUAGGUGACUCUCCUAAGCCUGGAUGUGAGAAAUCUGACUCUAUGUCGGAUACAGUGCUUGACAAAGGACCUCUCUGUCAUAGGAGGGGAGGAGCAAAGCCAGAUGGGGGGGAUGCCUUGUGACAACCAUUGGUUUGCAGUCCGGGCUCAAGUGCUUCAAAACAGCAUUAACUUUUAUUCUGAGAAAUUUUUAAAUUUUUUUUAACAUAUUUUUCUUUCCCUCGAAGGUGCUUAUACCCAGAAGAAGGAAUAGCAUUUUUAUAAUCUUGAUGGGAAUUUUGAGAUUUUUAAAAAUAAAAUAGAUUCUAUUUUUUUGUUUUUUAAUUAAGUGGGAAUGAAGAUUUUUUUUCCCCCAGAAUUUCUAGUUUUUGGGGAGUGGAGGGGCUGGGGGGGGUGGAAGUGCAGCCACAGUUUAUUCUAGUAAUAAAGGUACAUCUUGGCAGAGCAGAGAAAAUACCACACAAAGACUGAGUUGUUAGAGCUACCGCUCAGCACAACCAGCAAAGGCUGUAGUUUCUGGUUCUCCUGUCCGUUUUCUGAUGAGCUUAGCAUGGGUUUAAGUUACUGGCAUGAGGCUUCCAGAGGCCUCAGAGCUGGAUUGGAGGAAUUUUAGGUCCUGCCUUCCCACUGUAUCUUUGCCCUCUACUCCGAAACACCAUAGAAGGAGGAAGAAUGGGAAAAUGAAGCAGGGCAACAAAGGAGUGUAUUCCUUCCAAAAUACACACAUAUUACCAUCUUGGCCCCAACACACCCGGCCUAUCUCACUCGACCAUCCACGGAAGCUCGUGGAGUAUAGAAAACCCACUGAGAGAAAAAUAUCCUCAAAGAAACUCAUUUCUCAGAAGAAUGUUAAAAAGAGUGAGACAGAAAAAGAAAUUCUUGAAUUUUUUUCUUUCUUUUGGCUUCUGUUUCUUUUGGCUAAAGUAAAGAGACUCCUAUCUUCUUUUGCCUUUCUUCCUUUGCAUUAUAAUUAUUGGUUCAUUUGCCUUCAAUUCUUAGGGUUUUUUUUUUUUAGAUAGAAGCUAUUUUGGAAAUGCAGAGUAUUUGCUAUUAAUGUUUAUCCUGACUUGCUUUUUUAAUUUUCAAAAGUAUUCAUAUUCAUCUUGUUUAUAUAUUUUCUUCCAUUAGCUCAUUUCUGCUUUAAUGGCAAUUUUAUUUCAUAAUUUAAAUUUUCUCUAAUCUUUACUACUGAAUGGGUUACUUUAAUGAAAAAUGGAAAUAAUUACUGCUUCUACUCAAGAAAAUGUCUUUCUUUCACUCAGAGCUGUCACUUUUACUUGUAAGAUAAGAUUAUUUUAAAUGGAAUGAAAUUCUGCAAAGCUGACUACACCAAGGAGUACUGACAGGCAGCGACGAGAGGAACCUUCUGUUUCUGAUUGAAAUCAAAACAUUGGGCAUAUAUUUUACUAGCCUCGUAAAUAAUUUUCAGAGAAUAACAACACAAAACUGUCUGCAAAAUUCUCAUUCUCUUUUUCUCCCUGGAACUUAUGGAGUCAUUUAAACUGGUAAUAUUUAUGACAUGGAAAUAGGUAAGAGAGAGUAUUGAUAGAAUGGUAUCUUGUACUUCCAGUAAUAUAAAGAAUAAAAAAUAAGUGGGAGUUCCCUGGUGGCCUAGCAAUUAAAGAUCCAGCAUUGUCAUUGCUGUGGCACAGUUUUGAUCCCUGGCCCAGGACCUUCUACAUGCCACAGGAGCAAUCAAAAAUAAAUAAGUAAAUAAAUAAAUAAAUAAUAUCAUUCCUAGGAUCUGGAUCUAGAAGUAACCUAUUUAACAGGAGUUGCUGUGAUGAUACUGAAACAGCAGCGUUCCCAGAAUUUGAUUCGUCUGUUUAUCACUUGGGUUGUUUAAUGGGCGCUCCCAGACCAGCAGAGCAACUGUGAAAUACAAUGUAUAGUUUUCCGGUGUGGAGAAAAGUCUUUCAAGAUGUUUGCAAUGGUUUGUCAUGCAACUCAGGAAAUGUGUUAGAGUGUGUUAGCGGUCAAAUGCACCCAUUCAUUCAAAUCCACUUUUCAAGCAGUGUUACUCUGCUCAAAUUAUUGCCAGGCUAGAAGAAGGACUCAAAAAUAUACCUUUGUGAUUUCAUAUUUUCCAGACCUUUAAAAGAUCCAGCUAAUGAGGGCAGUAAUGAUGUGGAUUUUCUUUGUUUAAUUUUAUUUUUACUAGAGUAGAGUUGACUUACAGCGUUGUCUCAAUUUCUGCUGUACAGCAUAGUGACCCAGUCGUACACAGAUAUACCUUCUUUUCUUCCUGCUAUCUUCCAUCACAUGAUGUGAAUUUUCAAGGGAAAAAUAAAGAUUCAUUGGCUAUGUCAGCACCGGGUGGGGAGCAAGGAUUUCCUAGCUCUUUUGGAUAUGUCUACUAGAAGUAUUACACAGGUAAUUUCUCUUCAGCAUGCUGAUGCUUUUCAGUUCCACUCGUAUCAGAGGAUGACCUGGAGAAUUUUUAAGUGCAUAUUUGCAGUUGCUCUUAUUUAUAAACCUGCAGCCACCUUCCUUUACUUGCUAAUAAUUACAUUUAAAUUACUGCACUUUCCUUUGGAGGAUACAGUGAGAAAAAUAAAGGAAACAACCUCUAGUUUAAUAUAUACCCUUAGGUGAGAGUAUUUUAAAUCUCACCUGCACUUUAAUCAUUCAAGCUUUUUCAGGUGAUUAUUUAAAUGACACGCCACAAGGACAAAGUGAUCCAAUGCCACCAGAAAGGUAGGUACAAUAUUUAAUUGGAAGAGAAGGAGAGAGAAACUGUUGUUAAUGGACAUGAAAUGAAUUAUACGUUAAAGAGGUAAAAUCGAACUGUUUUUUAAAACUGACAUAUAUGUCAAUUACACAGAUACUAGUUUCAGGUAUACAAGGUAAUUUGUAUAUACUGCAAAAUGAUCACCACCAGAUUCUGGUUAAUAGCUAAUGCCAUACACAGUUACAAUUUCUUUUUCUUGGUCUGGACAAAUAAUCUGGUGGAUAUUGAUUGUUUUCCUUCUCAGCACCCAUUGCCCAUUCUCCCUGUGGCAUCUCUAGAUUCUUGGGGAAUCCAGCCUUUCCCCAUACUCGGUCAUUGUGAUCUGGGAGGCCUUCCACCCCCUGCUCCAGAGAGGGAUCCUGUAACCCACGCCUGAGCCAUUCGGACCUUUGCUUCCUCUUAACUAUGAUUGGCUCCCAAAGUAACACAUCUUCUAGGGGGACCCAAUCAGAGUCUUGAUUUGGGCCACCAGGUUCUAAAUACAUAGCUGAAAUAAGUGGGCAUGAGCAUGGACCUUGGGAGAGACGUCGGGGGCAGACCAGGGAGCGUUAACCUCUGCAAACUUGUCUCAAAGUUCACUCCAUCAGGAGUUAUUGAGUACCUACUUACCAUGUAGGCAUGAUACCCAUAAUCAUGGUGAAAUCUACCUCGUUGCCGUGUGCGGCCAGACAUCACAUGACAUGUGACCUUAUUUAAUCCUCCUUACAGUUCUUGGAGGAAGGACUAUUACGAUUCCAUUCGACAGAAAAGGAACUAAGACCUAAAUGCACUAAGCCACAUGCUCAAGGCCGACAAGCCAGGACCAGCCCGGUUCUGGGGGUCUCUGAACCACGCUGUCAGUCGGUGAAUGGCCUUCCUUUGCACAAGAUUGGCAUGGUGGACCUUGAAGGGGGCUCCUCGGGGCUCUUCUGGACCAAAUACUCCUUCUCCGGCUGGCCAGGAGGACCUGGCAAUCACAAGAAGGAGUCAUUCCCAGGACCUUUCACCUGUGGGGCCCUUCCCUAGGCUGGGGCUGGGUUUCACACUCACUGCCCUGAUUUCCUCUCAAAGGAGGAAAAAAAUCUUUGGCCAUGAAGAAGCACAAGAGUUUUAACCAACCCGUCCAUCCUAGGGAGCUCAGACCUGCUUCUCCCAUUGACAGCAUGUUGGGUUUCUGACGCCUCCUGAUUCCCUGCUGUAUUCUGAUGUUCACAACCCCCGCCCCCCCACCCAGAAGCCCAGGCUGCUUCAGAGUAUGUGUCUCCUCAGCUCCAACAUGGACAGAGCGCCCCACCUUACCCUGAGGUAUUUCUUGUGCCGUAUUACAUAUUCAAAUGCAAUUACAAAACAGGAUCUUAUGGAGUAAAUAUCGUGAUGUCAAUAGUUUCCACUAUCGUAAUAAUUUACGUAAGACAGAAAAAUCACUUCCAGAAUCUGAGCAAGUCUAAGUUGGUCCCCUCCUUC
Molecule: non-coding RNA, 8387 nt
Organism: Sus scrofa (pig)
Lineage: Eukaryota; Metazoa; Chordata; Mammalia; Artiodactyla; Suidae
Source: RefSeq, a predicted model, not a curated record